GGGUGAGUAACAGGUAUGCAACCUGCCCCUGUCAGGGGGACAACCCGCCGAAAGGCGGGCUAAACCCGCGUACAUGCCACCGGGGCAUCCCGGAGGCAGGAAAGGCUUCGGCCGGACAGGGAUGGGCAUGCGGCGCAUUAGGCAGUAGGCGGGGUAACGGCCCACCUAACCGACGAUGCGUAGGGGUUCUGAGAGGAAGGUCCCCCACACUGGUACUGAGACGCGGACCAGACUCCUACGGGAGGCAGCAGUGAGGAAUAUUGGUCAAUGGUCGGGAGACUGAACCAGCCAAGCCGCGUGAGGGAUGAAGGUACAGAGUAUCGUAAACCUCUUUUGUCAGGGAACAAAGGCGGGGACGUGUCCCCGGAUGAGUGUACCUGAAGAAAAAGCAUCGGCUAACUCCGUGCCAGCAGCCGCGGUAAUACGGAGGAUGCGAGCGUUAUCCGGAUUUAUUGGGUUUAAAGGGUGCGCAGGCGGUCUGUUAAGUCGGCGGUCAAAGCCCGGGGCUCAACCCCGGCCCGCCGUUGAAACUGGCAGUCUCGAGUUGGAGAGAAGUAUGCGGAAUGCGCGGUGUAGCGGUGAAAUGCAUAGAUAUCGCGCAGAACUCCGAUUGCGAAGGCAGCAUGCCGGCUCCACACUGACGCUGAGGCACGAAAGCGUGGGUAUCGAACAGGAUUAGAUACCCUGGUAGUCCACGCAGUAAACGAUG
Molecule: ribosomal RNA, 709 nt
Filed under: uncultured bacterium
Lineage: Bacteria
Description: bacterial SSU rRNA
Rfam family: Bacterial small subunit ribosomal RNA
Source: RNAcentral